CUGGGCAGCUAUGCCGGAGUAGUGAUAUUAAAAGAUACUAUUCCGAUAGAUGGACUUAAUAAUAUUUAUUUACAAACACCUGGAAUUAUAAUCCUCUUUGCAGGAAUAUUUGCAUUUAUAGGAAUGCUGUCCGGAAUUUGUUAUUGUUGUAAAACAAAUAGUCAAUGUUGCAGUAUUUUUUUCUCGAUUUGUCUAUUUUGCAUAUUUUCUCUGACCCUGGCUGCAACAAUUUUUUAUUGUUUGAAGAAACCACAAAUGAUAAGUUUGAUACGGA
Long non-coding RNA from Octopus sinensis (East Asian common octopus), 274 nucleotides. RefSeq lists it as uncharacterized. The record is from RefSeq and is a predicted model, not a curated record. NCBI's taxonomy places the organism in Eukaryota, Metazoa, Mollusca, Cephalopoda, Octopoda, Octopodidae. The transcript has 3 exons.